UACGGGAGGCAGCAGUGGGGAAUAUUGCACAAUGGGCGCAAGCCUGAUGCAGCGACGCCGCGUGGGGGAUGACGGCCUUCGGGUUGUAAACUCCUUUCGUUAGGGACGAAGCCGCACUUUUUUUGGGUGUGGUGACGGUACCUUUGUUAAGAAGCACCGGCUAACUACGUGCCAGCAGCCGCGGUAAUACGUAGGGUGCGAGCGUUGUCCGGAAUUACUGGGCGUAAAGAGCUCGUAGGUGGUUUGUUGCGUCGUCUGUGAAAUUCCGGGGCUUAACUUCGGGGUGGCAGGCGAUACGGGCAUAACUAGAGUGCUGUAGGGGAGACUGGAAUUCCUGGUGUAGCGGUGGAAUGCGCAGAUAUCAGGAGGAACACCGAUGGCAAACUCAAAGGAAUUGACGGGGGCCCGCACAAGCGGCGGAGCAUGUGGAUUAAUUCGAUGCAACGCGAAGAACCUUACCUGGGUUUGACAUGCACCAGACGGUUGUAGAGAUACGUACCUCCCUUUGUGGUUGGUGUGCAGGUGGUGCAUGGUUGUCGUCAGCUCGUGUCGUGAGAUGUUGGGUUAAGUCCCGCAACGAGCGCAACCCUUGUCUUAUGUUGCCAGCACGUUCAGGUGGGGACUCAUGAGAGACUGCCGGGGUUAACUCGGAGGAAGGUGGGGAUGACGUCAAAUCAUCAUGCCCUUUAUGCCCAGGGCUUCACACAUGCUACAAUGGUUAGUACAACGCGCUGCGAGCCUGUGAGGGUGAGCGAAUCGCUGAAAGCCAGUCUCAGUUCGGAUUGGGGUCUGCAACUCGACCCCAUGAAGUCGGAGUCGCUAGUAAUCGCAGAUCAGCAACGCUGCGGUGAAUACGUUCCCGGGCCUU
Molecule: ribosomal RNA, 868 nt
Filed under: human oral metagenome
Description: bacterial SSU rRNA
Rfam family: Bacterial small subunit ribosomal RNA
Source: RNAcentral